Molecule: ribosomal RNA, 384 nt
Filed under: Lacunicambarus miltus
Lineage: Eukaryota; Metazoa; Arthropoda; Malacostraca; Decapoda; Cambaridae
Description: partial small subunit ribosomal RNA
Source: RNAcentral
AUACCCUAGUACACUUAAAUUUAAUUAGAAACAUUAGAAUAUUAAAAGUUAUGUUCUUUAAAUUUAAAAAAUUUGGCGGUGUUUUAGUCUAGUUAGAGGAACCUGUUUUAUAAACGAUACAACACGCAUUAUUUUACUUAUUUUAGUAGAUCAGCUUGUAUACCGUCAUUAUAAGAUAAUUUAAGAGAGAAUAUUAUUGAGAUCAUAUUAUUGAGUAUAUUAGAUCAAGGUGCAGCUUAUGAGUAAGAAAAUAUGGGUUACAAUAAAAUUUAUUUAAUAUGAAUUAAGUGUUUAAAUAUAUUUAUGAAGGAGGAUUUAAUUGUAAGAGGGGAGUAGUGAGCUUUUCUGAUAAAAGCUCUAAAUUAUGUACAUAUCGCCCGUCGC